This 156-nucleotide ribosomal RNA is filed under the name Triticum aestivum (bread wheat). RNAcentral describes it as "partial small subunit ribosomal RNA". The record is from RNAcentral. Lineage: Eukaryota; Viridiplantae; Streptophyta; Magnoliopsida; Poales; Poaceae.
AUGGCUCAUCCAAGACCAACAAACCUGUCCAAAGAAGUUCUGGUCCAGGUCGCUUCGCUUGAGAAAUCACAUGCGAUCUGGACCGCGCUUGGGAACAUGUUCUCGGCCAUGUCUCUCUCACGCGCCAACAACAUACGAGUCGCCCUCACCAACGCC